ACGAACGCUGGCGGCAUGCCUAACACAUGCAAGUCGAACGAGACCUUCGGGUCUAGUGGCGCACGGGUGCGUAACGCGUGGGAAUCUGCCCUUGGGUUCGGAAUAACAGUUGGAAACGACUGCUAAUACCGGAUGAUGUCUUCGGACCAAAGAUUUAUCGCCCAGGGAUGAGCCCGCGUAGGAUUAGCUUGUUGGUGAGGUAAAGGCUCACCAAGGCGACGAUCCUUAGCUGGCUGAGAGGAUGAUCAGCCACACUGGGACUGAGACACGGCCCAGACUCCUACGGGAGGCAGCAGUGGGGAAUAUUGGACAAUGGGCGAAAGCCUGAUCCAGCAAUGCCGCGUGAGUGAUGAAGGCCUUAGGGUUGU
Molecule: ribosomal RNA, 368 nt
Filed under: uncultured bacterium
Lineage: Bacteria
Description: bacterial SSU rRNA
Rfam family: Bacterial small subunit ribosomal RNA
Source: RNAcentral